CCUACGGGAGGCAGCAGUGAGGAAUAUUGGUCAAUGGGCUUACGCCUGAACCAGCCAAGUCGCGUGAGGGAAGACUGCCCUAUGGGUUGUAAACCUCUUUUGUCAGGGAGCAAUUUGCGCUACGUGUAGCGUUAUCGAGUGUACCUGAAGAAAAAGCAUCCGCUAACUCCGUGACAGCAGCCGCGGUAAUAAGAAGGAUGCGAGCGUGAAUCGGAAUUACUGGGCGUAAAUCGCUCGUAGGGGGUAUGUCAAGUCAGGGGUGAAAUCCCCGCGCUCAACGUGGGAACUGCCUUUGAAACUGGCAAACUGGAGUGUGUGAGAGGAUAGUGGAAUUCCAGGUGUAGGAGUGAAAUCCGUAGAUAUCUGGAGGAACAUCAGUGGCGAAGGCGACUAUCUGGCACAUAACUGACGCUGAGGAGCGAAAGCGUGGGUAGCAAACAGGAUUAGAUACCCGAGUAGUC
This 461-nucleotide ribosomal RNA is filed under the name uncultured bacterium. RNAcentral's name for it is "partial 16S ribosomal RNA". It matches the Rfam family "Bacterial small subunit ribosomal RNA", at positions 338 to 795 of the family's 1533-position model. The record is from RNAcentral.